Molecule: long non-coding RNA, 1399 nt
Organism: Chelonia mydas (Green sea turtle)
Lineage: Eukaryota; Metazoa; Chordata; Testudines; Cheloniidae
Exons: 4
Source: RefSeq, a predicted model, not a curated record
GUUUGAAAGCAACACCUCCUAGGAAACUGUCUGAGAAGCCAUGAAGCAGAAGAAGCCAUGAUGUAAGCAGCCACAAUAAAGCUGGAGUUUGUAAAUGAACCUUGUGACAGAGUGAGAUCUUAAAAUGCAAAUGAACCAGACACAAAGCAUAAAACAUGGUGGCAGAGGUAAUUAAAUCUGAAACGGCAGGAAAGAACAUUCAGAGCUUCACUGCAGAGGGCAGAAUACUUCUGUGAGUACAUGGUUUGUCUUACGAGAAAAGGCUAAUAACAGAAAAUGGAGAGUCUGAACGCUUCAGGGACAUUAAAUCUGCAAGCUAAGAAUUUAGCUCAGGCAUGGAAGAGCUGAAAAGAGGAAUUUUAACCUCUAUGUAGUUAUUGCUCUGGCAGAUAGAGGAUGCUGUGAAAAUGAAACUGUUUUAUUACCAUAUUGGAGAAAGAGGGAGAAAGGAGAUAGUCCAAUAUGAGGUUCAAGGGUGCAUGGUGUAAGGAUAUACCUUUCUGACAGGACCACAUGGAGAAGCACUUCCAUUUAGCCAGGUACACUUGGGAAGUCCCCCAGAGCUGGAAGAUGGAUAUGGCAAUGCCUGGGAGUAAAGACCACUGGUGGUGCUCAGAGAAGGUCCUGGUCAGUUGAUCCACCAACUUGUUCUGCUUCCUCGGAAGAAUUGACUUGCUCCAAUUUACGAGAAGCUCCAGGACGUCGAAUGUGGACAGGAUGGUGGAUACAGUGGAUAACACCUGAGCCUCAGACCAAUCUCUCAUCAACCAGUAGUCCCAGGACAGGAACACAUGAACUUCUGAUUUUUGUAGAUGUGCUGCCACCGCUGCCAGGCACUUUGUGAACACCCGCGGAGCAGCUGAGAGACCGAAUGGGAGCACUGUGAGCUGACAGUGGGAUUCAUUUGCCACAAAUCUGAGAAACUUCCGAAGGUUGUGUCGUAUUGAGACCUGGAAAUAAGCAUCCUUUAAAUUGAGGGCAAUGUACCAGUCCCCCUAUUCCAGGGAGGGAAUAAUCAAGGCUAGGGUAAUCAUGCGGAAUUUUAUUUUCUUCAGGAAUUUGUUCAACUCUCUUAGAUCUAAAAUAGGCCUGAGACCUCCUUUUGCUUUGGGGAUAAGGAGUUAGUGAGAGUAGAAGCCUUUCCCCCAAGGCCCAGUGGGACUUCUUCUAUGGAUCCUGCCUGAAGAUGCAAUUGAACCUUUUGCUGAAGGACGAUCUCAUGAGAGUGGUGGAGAAGGGGGGUGGGAACGAGGGGUAGAAAUGAACUGAAUGAAGGGCAUGUGACGUUGCACUCCGUGUUUUAUGAAAAUAUGCUUAUGAAUGUGAAUAUAAUGUAACUGGAAUAUGCUUUAAGCAGAAGGUCUUUUGUAAGGUAUCAUUACAAAGCUUAUAAUUUACU